Molecule: ribosomal RNA, 347 nt
Filed under: uncultured bacterium
Lineage: Bacteria
Description: partial 16S ribosomal RNA
Rfam family: Bacterial small subunit ribosomal RNA
Source: RNAcentral
CCUACGGGUGGCAGCAGUGAGGAAUAGUGGUCAAUGGACGCAAGUCUGAACCAGCCAUGCCGCGUGCAGGAAGACGGCUCUAUGAGUUGUAAACUGCUGUUGUACGAGGGUAAACGCAGAUACGCGUAGCUGUCUGAAAGUAUCGUACGAAUAAGGAUCGGCUAACGCCGUGCCAGCAGCCGCGGUAAUACGGAGGAUGCAAGCGUUAGCCGGAUUUAUUGGGUUUAAAGGGUGCGUAGGCGGUCGGAUAAGUUAGAGGGGAAAUCCCGAGGCUCACCUUCGGAAUUGCCUCUGAUACUGUUCGGCUAGAGCGUAGUUGCGGUAGGCGGACUGUAUUGUGUCGCGGU